This 261-nucleotide ribosomal RNA is filed under the name uncultured bacterium. Its description in RNAcentral is "partial 16S ribosomal RNA". It matches the Rfam family "Bacterial small subunit ribosomal RNA", at positions 524 to 777 of the family's 1533-position model. The record is from RNAcentral.
UACGGAGGGUGCAAACGUUGCUCGGAAUCAUUGGGCGUAAAGGGUGCGUAGGCGGGUCUUUUAAGUCAGGGGUGAAAUCCUGGAGCUCAACUCCAGAACUGCCUUUGAUACUGAAGAUCUUGAGUUCGGGGAGAGGUGAGUGGAACUGCGAGUGUAGAGGUGAAAUUCGUAGAUAUUCGCAAGAACACCAGUGGCGAAAGGCGGCUCACUGGCCCGAUACUGACGCUGAGGCACGAAAAGCGUGGGGGGAGCAAAACAGGA